AUUGAGCCUUGAUGUGUAGGAUAGGUGGGAGGCUUUGAAGCGUGGACGCCAGUCUGCGUGGAGCCAACCUUGAAAUACCACCCUUUAAUGUUUGAUGUUCUAACGUUGGCCCCUGACCGGGGUUGCGGACAGUGUCUGGUGGGUAGUUUGACUGGGGCGGUCUCCUCCCAAAGCGUAACGGAGGAGCACGAAGGUUAGCUAAUCCUGGUCGGACAUCAGGAGGUUAGUGCAAUGGCAUAAGCUAGCUUGACUGCGAGCGUGACGGCGCGAGCAGGUGCGAAAGCAGGUCAUAGUGAUCCGGUGGUUCUGAAUGGAAGGGCCAUCGCUCAACGGAUAAAAGGUACUCCGGGGAUAACAGGCUGAUACCGCCCAAGAGUUCAUAUCGACGGCGGUGUUUGGCACCUCGAUGUCGGCUCAUCACAUCCUGGGGCUGAAGUAGGUCCCAAGGGUAUGGCUGUUCGCCAUUUAAAGUGGUACGCGAGCUGGGUUUAGAACGUCGUGAGACAGUUCGGUCCCUAUCUGCCGUGGGCGCUGGAGAAUUGAGGGGGGCUGCUCCUAGUACGAGAGGACCGGAGUGGACGCAUCACUGGUGUUCGGGUUGUCAUGCCAAUGGCACUGCCCGGUAGCUAAAUGCGGAAGAGAUAAGUGCUGAAAGCAUCUAAGCACGAAACUUGCCCCGAGAUGAGUUCUCCCUGAGACUUUAAGUCUCCUGAAGGAACGUUGAAGACGACGACGUUGAUAGGCCGGGUGUGUAAGCGCAGCGAUGCGUUGAGCUAACCGGUACUAAUGAACCGUGAGGCUUAACCUU
RNAcentral lists this ribosomal RNA (808 nucleotides) under Klebsiella pneumoniae BIDMC 47. RNAcentral describes it as "bacterial LSU rRNA". It matches the Rfam family "Bacterial large subunit ribosomal RNA", at positions 2123 to 2925 of the family's 2925-position model. The record is from RNAcentral. Lineage: Bacteria; Pseudomonadati; Pseudomonadota; Gammaproteobacteria; Enterobacterales; Enterobacteriaceae.